UACGGGGGGGGCAAGCGUUGUUCGGAAUUACUGGGCGUAAAGGGCUGGUAGGCGGCCAACUAAGUCGGAUGUGAAAUCCCCAGGCUUAACCUGGGAACUGCAUCCGAUACUGGUCGGCUUGAAUCCGGGAGAGGGAUGCAGAAUUCCAGGUGUAGCGGUGAAAUGCGUAGAUAUCUGGAGGAAUACCGGUGGCAAGGCAGGCGAUCCUGGACCGGCAUUGACGCUGAACAGCGAAAGCUAGGGGAGCAAACGGG
RNAcentral lists this ribosomal RNA (254 nucleotides) under uncultured bacterium. Its description in RNAcentral is "partial 16S ribosomal RNA". It matches the Rfam family "Bacterial small subunit ribosomal RNA", at positions 524 to 776 of the family's 1533-position model. The record is from RNAcentral.